UCAUGGGGUAGACUAAGAAAAGUCUGCAGGCUCAUAACCUGAAAAUAUGCCUAAGAGCAUUCUCGUGG
RNAcentral lists this transfer RNA (68 nucleotides) under Anadara cornea. Its description in RNAcentral is "tRNA-Met". Lineage: Eukaryota; Metazoa; Mollusca; Bivalvia; Arcoida; Arcidae. The record is from RNAcentral.